CUCCGAGGUGAAUGAUUAAAAGGGAAUCAAGGUGAGAAUCCUGAACAGUCCCGCUGCUGUAUGUUUCACUAAACGCAUAAGCAAAAUGCCAAUAACCACUGGGAUAAUUUCCGGGAAGGUGCUUAUAGCGGAAACGAGUCAGAAGACCUGCCUGUGCAUUUA
This 162-nucleotide non-coding RNA is filed under the name Phocaeicola dorei. The record is from RNAcentral. Lineage: Bacteria; Pseudomonadati; Bacteroidota; Bacteroidia; Bacteroidales; Bacteroidaceae.